UUAAAAACAAUUACUUUUGUUAAUCAUGGAGACUUUCUUUAUUCAGUCACUCAGCACUGACUUUACCAAAUGGCCAAGAAGUCAAGGAAUUAUUUGUCACACAGAAGCAAGUGUACUGGGAUCACUUCAAGAAUGCCAAAGGAGUGACUGUAAUAUUGUCCUGAGUUCUUCAAUGUCAUGGAGUUCCCUGGAUCUCUGAACUUAGAUCCGCUGAGGUCAACGCUGGUAUCUCGAUAUUAAGGAUGGAGAAACUGAGCCAGAGUGAUAAAAAUGAUUUAGCCAAUAUCAACGUAGUGAUUAUUUGAAAACAGAGCCAGGAAUGGCUUCAUGUUGCUCUCUCCUGCUGACAUAUUCAUUGAAAAUGAUUUAGCAGGGCAUGGUUGGACUCAACCCUAGAGGUGAGGCCUUUGGUAACAAAAUCACAAAACUGAAGAAUAGGGAAG
RNAcentral lists this long non-coding RNA (443 nucleotides) under Sarcophilus harrisii (Tasmanian devil). RNAcentral describes it as "lncRNA (ENSSHAG00000022796.1)". The record is from RNAcentral. Lineage: Eukaryota; Metazoa; Chordata; Mammalia; Dasyuromorphia; Dasyuridae.